UCUUUAACAGACCGCCGUACCGUGAGGGUGCUGUGUUUCAGUCUCAACAAAUGCAAGUAAAGUGCUAAAUAACACUGACACUUGAUCGAGGUUAGGUUAAACUAUUAAAUCUCCUCCGUGUUGAGCGUUAAAUCAUUCGAAGUACGUGAUAUCGACCGAUUGAUUUGACUUGUCCGGUUGCUAUUUAAUCGAAUUCGCAACAAGAUUCUCACAAUGAGUAGAAAUAACAACAAAGAAGUACGAGUAAAGAGAGAACGUUCGCCAGAAUGGGGUAAACCUAGUAUUAGUGCGAAACGUAAACCAAAACAGGAAAAAGAAAAACCAAAUUUCGGAUUGUCUGGAAAACUAACAGAAGAUACAAACACUGUAAACGGUGUGGUUAUUAAAUAUUCCGAACCUGCAGAUGCGAGAAAACCUAAACGAAGAUGGAGGUUAUAUCCGUUCAAAGAAGAGAAAGCAUUGCCUAUCUUGUAUGUUCAUAGACACUCAGCUUAUUUAAUGGGCAGAGAUCGCAAAAUUGCGGAUAUUCCCUUGGAUCAUCCUUCAUGUUCUAAACAGCAUGCGGUUCUACAAUAUCGUUUAGUACCUUUUCAAAAAGAAGGUGGAGGCGAAGGGAAAAGAAUUUGCCCUUAUCUUAUAGACCUAGACUCUGCAAAUGGUACAUUUGUAAAUAAUGUAAAAUUAGAACCGAGAAGAUAUCACGAAUUAUUAGAACGGGAUGUAAUCCGUUUUGGAUACAGCACCAGAGAAUAUGUUGUAUUACACGAACAUAGUCAAGAUGAUUCGUCAGAUGAUUAACUAUUCCAAAUACAACUGCUGCUCGUUCUACUGUGUAUAUAAUAUCAAGAUGAUUCGUCAGAUGAUUAACUAUUUCAAAUACAACUGCUACUCGUUCUACUGUGAUAUUAGUUGGAAGAAGGUUCGAGAAAGAAGUUAUGACACAUAAUCACAUAGCUAUUUAGGUAUCGUCUACCACUAUAGCUAAGGCUAAUUUGUGAUUAUCCUUAAAUUGUACAAUGUAAGAUAUUAACUAGACUCAUGUAUAUAAUAUUUUUUACAUUUUAUCUAAUUAGAGAUGUAAGUUAAUUCUAAUAAGUUACAUGUUAAUUCUAAUAAGUUAAUUGUACAAUGUAAGAUAUUAACUAGACUCAUGUAUAUAAUAUUUUUUACAUUUUAUCUAUUUAGAGAUGUAAGUUAAUUCUAAUAAGUUACUUUUGAUGGAAAUAUAUAUAUUUAUAUAUAAUAACAAUUUGUUCACUUUAUUUACCCAGACCUGUUAAAUAAUAAAUUUUAUAUUGUGUAUGCAAUUUUAUUACGGUAUUUGCACAUUAGUAAAGACAUGUAUAUAUAAAAUAUACAAAAUUCAUACAAUAUAAUUAUUUUCUUAGUAAUAUAUUCCCUAUGACGAUGUUGAAGAUAUUUAUAGAAUUUGGUUUAUUUUUACUUCAAAGUUAUAAAGUUCGUAGGGGAAGGAACUAAUAUUAUACAUAUUAUAAUCAGUAUAUAAAAGUAUGUUUUUAAAUAGGAAGACUAUGAAAUAUUUUU
Molecule: RNA transcript, 1545 nt
Organism: Bombus huntii
Lineage: Eukaryota; Metazoa; Arthropoda; Insecta; Hymenoptera; Apidae
Gene name: smad nuclear-interacting protein 1-like
Exons: 2
Source: RefSeq, a predicted model, not a curated record